Molecule: non-coding RNA, 87 nt
Organism: Cucumis melo (muskmelon)
Lineage: Eukaryota; Viridiplantae; Streptophyta; Magnoliopsida; Cucurbitales; Cucurbitaceae
Source: Rfam
UGGCGAUGAUUAUAUGUUUAUCCGCGCUUCCGAGGUUAAACAAUGAAGCUAGACUAAAUGAAAGGUUGAAUUUCUUAGUAUGAGCCA